GCGCAUGCGUCCUUCUCUGCUCGCUGUAUGAUGGGAGAUUACACGUCACCAUUACCUCACACGUCAGGCGAUGCGGGUUAUCCCAACAAAUCGUGGCUCUUGACCCCAUUGUCUAAUCCUGUUGGUAGAGCAGAAAAACGUUACCAAGAGACACACAAAGCAUCGAGGCAAAUAAUUGAGCGUGCCUUCGGUGUACUUAAAAGCCGGUUUAGAUGUUUAGACACUUCCGGUGGUGCUCUUUUGUACUCACCGGCGAAGGUUUGCGGCAUGGUAAAUGCAUGUUGUAUUUUACACAACUUAUGUGUCGCAAACCGUUUGCCGUGACUCUUCGUCGCAGUACUUUCCGACGCGGGAACCGUUCUUCUGCUCUACCGGUGGGUAUGGACGAAGGAGAUGAUUCCCGACGGACAUUGAUCCAAAGCUUUUUUUCCACUGCCUAGUUUUACGUCCUGUUGACGCACCUUCCCAGGCCUGUUUUCAAAGUUUCGUCCUGUUGACAACCUGUUACCCCCUGUUUUUUCCUGUUGUUGGGUUGCCGCAAAUAUUGGACCCAUUUAUUCAACUCUACCAUGGGCAACCUACUUGUGAUGUGGACCGGAACCUCCGCCAUGUAGCAGACAACCCCCCUCAGGUCUUGCGGAGUAUCCUUCCCAAGUGGCUUGAAUCAUCAUGGUUGAAAAGGGACACGACAGUUCCCCUGCUGUACCAUGGGCGACCUAAUACCACUGCAUCUCAUAUAUUACAUUUUAUUUACUAAUAAUUUAAAGAAAAAACACACAAAACUUCUUAUUUUAAAAAUUUAU
Molecule: long non-coding RNA, 803 nt
Organism: Pseudophryne corroboree (corroboree frog)
Lineage: Eukaryota; Metazoa; Chordata; Amphibia; Anura; Myobatrachidae
Exons: 4
Source: RefSeq, a predicted model, not a curated record